This 428-nucleotide ribosomal RNA is filed under the name uncultured bacterium. Its description in RNAcentral is "bacterial SSU rRNA". It matches the Rfam family "Bacterial small subunit ribosomal RNA", at positions 355 to 774 of the family's 1533-position model. The record is from RNAcentral.
UGAGGAAUAUUGCGCAAUGGGGGAAACCCUGACGCAGCGACGCCGCGUGGAUGAUGAAGGCUUUCGGGUCGUAAAAUCCUGUCAGAUGGAAAGAAGUGUAUAUGUGCUAAUACCAUGUAUAUUUGACGGUACCAUCAAAGGAAGCACCGGCUAACUCCGUGCCAGCAGCCGCGGUAAUACGGAGGGUGCAAGCGUUGUUCGGAAUUACUGGGCGUAAAGCGCGCGUAGGCGGUUUGCUAUGUCAGAUGUGAAAGUCCACGGCUCAACCGUGGAAGUGCAUUUGAAACUGGCAGACUUGAGUAUUGGAGGGGGUGGUGGAAUUCCCGGUGUAGAGGUGAAAUUCGUAGAUAUCGGGAGGAAUACCGGUGGCGAAGGCGACCACCUGGCCAAAUACUGACGCUGAGGUGCGAAAGCGUGGGGAGCAAACA